This 497-nucleotide ribosomal RNA is filed under the name uncultured bacterium. Its description in RNAcentral is "partial 16S ribosomal RNA". It matches the Rfam family "Bacterial small subunit ribosomal RNA", at positions 28 to 507 of the family's 1533-position model. The record is from RNAcentral.
GAUGAACGCUGGCGGCGUGCUUAAUACAUGCAAGUCGAGCGAACGGACGAGAAUCUUGCUUCUCUGAUGUUAGCGGCGGAGGGGUGAGUAACACGUGGAUAACUUACUUAUAAGACUGGGAUAACUUCGGGAAACCGGCGCUAAUACCGGAUAAUAUUCUGAUUCGCAGGGUUCAAUAGUGAAAUACGGUGUUGCUGUAACUUAUAGCUGGAUCCGCGCUACAUGAGCUAGUUGGCAAGGUAAAGGCUUACCAAGGCUGGGAUGCAUAGCCGACCUGAAGGAGUGGUCGGCUACAUGGGAGGUGAGGCAGAGUCCAGACUCCUGCGAUGGGCAGCAGACGGGAAUCUUCCGCAAUGGGGGAGAGCCUGACGGAGCGACGCGGCGUGAGAGAUGAAGGUGUACGGAUCGGAAAACGCUGUUAUUAGUUGAAAACAAAUGUGUCAUUAACUGUGCAGAUCGUGACGGUACCUAGUCAAGAAGCCACGGCUAACUACGUG